RNAcentral lists this long non-coding RNA (83 nucleotides) under Fukomys damarensis (Damara mole-rat). RNAcentral's name for it is "lncRNA (ENSFDAG00000032189.1)". The record is from RNAcentral. Lineage: Eukaryota; Metazoa; Chordata; Mammalia; Rodentia; Bathyergidae.
GGAGCCAUUGACGCUAGGAGGCCCUUGGUACUUGAAAAUGGGUGAAAGGGGUGACUUGUUGGAAAAGACCAAAGGAAAGAAAA